RNAcentral lists this ribosomal RNA (497 nucleotides) under uncultured bacterium. RNAcentral's name for it is "partial 16S ribosomal RNA". It matches the Rfam family "Bacterial small subunit ribosomal RNA", at positions 28 to 507 of the family's 1533-position model. The record is from RNAcentral.
GAUGAACGCUGGCGGCGUGCCUAAUACAUGCAAGUCGAGCGAACGGACGAGAAGCUUGCUUCUCUGAUGUUAGCGGCGGACGGGCGAGUAACACGUGGAUAACCUACCUAUAAGACUGGGAUAACUUCGGGAAACCGGAGCUAAUACCGGAUAAUAUUUUGAACCGCAUGGUUCAAAAGUGAAAGACGGUCUUGCUGUCACUUAUAGAUGGAUCCGCGCUGCAUUAGCUAGUUGGUAAGGUAACGGCUUACCAAGGCAACGAUGCAUAGCCGACCUGAGAGGGUGAUCGGCCGCACUGGAACUGAGACACGGUCCAGACUCCUACGGGAGGCAGCAGUAGGGAAUCUUCCGCAAUGGGCGAAAGCCUGACGGAGCAACGCCGCGUGAGUGAUGAAGGUCUUCGGAUCGUAAAACUCUGUUAUUAGGGAAGAACAUAUGUGUAAGUAACUGUGCACAUCUUGACGGUACCUAAUCAGAAAGCCACGGCUAACUACGUG